CUACCCGCUGAACUUAAGCAUAUCAAUAAGCGGAGGAAAAGAAACUAACAAGGAUUCCCCUAGUAACUGCGAGUGAAGCGGGAAGAGCUCAAAUUUUGAAUCUGGCAGUCCUUGGCUGUCCGAGUUGUAAUCUAGAGAAGUGUUUUCCGCGCCGGACCGUGUAUAAGUCUCCUGGAAGGGAGCGUCGUAGAGGGUGAGAAUCCCGUCUUUGACACGGACUACCAGUGCUAUGUGAUGCGCUCUCGACGAGUCGAGUUGUUUGGGAAUGCAGCUCAAAACGGGUGGUAAACUCCAUCUAAAGCUAAAUACAGGCGAGAGACCGAUAGCGAACAAGUACCGUGAGGGAAAGAUGAAAAGAACUUUGGAAAGAGAGUUAAACAGUACGUGAAAUUGCUGAAAGGGAAACGCUUGAUGUCAGUCACGUUGGCUGGGGAUCAACCUUGCUUCUCGCUGGGUGUACUUCCCGGU
This 468-nucleotide ribosomal RNA is filed under the name Butyriboletus primiregius. RNAcentral's name for it is "eukaryotic LSU rRNA". It matches the Rfam family "Eukaryotic large subunit ribosomal RNA", at positions 22 to 490 of the family's 3401-position model. Lineage: Eukaryota; Fungi; Basidiomycota; Agaricomycetes; Boletales; Boletaceae. The record is from RNAcentral.